CAAGAGUACGUGAAACCGUUUAGGGGUAAACCUGAGAAACCCGAAAGGUCGAAGGGAGAAAUUCAUUCGCGUUUCGACGCAGGCGUCGGACGGAGUCACGAGCGACGGAACGCAGUUCUUCGCGGAACUGACGGUUUCGCGCCCUCCGUCCGUUCGAACCGGCGGCGAACGCGUGCACUUUUCUUCUGGUAGGACGUCGCGAUCCGUCGGGCGUCGGUCUACGACUUGCGGUGGAGCCCGCCCGUCUCGUCAUCACGUACGUGCGGACGGACCCGCUCGUUCCGGCCGACUCGCUCGACGGUAUACGUAAGGUCGGAGGCCGCUCGAUUUUUUUUUAAAUCACAAGGAGCGUUCGACUCGUCGCAAGCGCGCCACGUGCGUCGGCACGCGGACUCCGUGCCGCGUCCGACCUCUGGUGACUGUUGGCGACGACGUUCUCGGACAGACCUCUCUCCGUGCGUGCGUGUGCGUGUGUUUUUUUUCUUUCAAUUUCGAUUGAACGAAGAGGGCAUGUGCGCGCGCGCACGCAGACCGAUCGGCGACGCUAUAGCUUUGGGUACUUUCAGGACCCGUCUUGAAACACGGACCAAGGAGUCUAGCAUGUACGCGAGUCAUUGGGAUUAUAACUAAACCUAAAGGCGCAAUGAAAGUGAAGGUCUUCCACGCGAAGACCGAGGGAAGACGGACGAUCGCACGUGGGAAUUUUCAUUAAUUUCCGAUCGUCCCGCACUCCCGGGGCGUCUCGUUCACACAGCGUGAAGAGGCGCACCAAGAGCGUACACGCUGGGACCCGAAAGAUGGUGAACUAUGCCUGGUCAGGACGAAGUCAGGGGAAACCCUGAUGGAGGUCCGUAGCGAUUCU
RNAcentral lists this ribosomal RNA (862 nucleotides) under Xyleborus scabratus. RNAcentral describes it as "partial 28S ribosomal RNA". It matches the Rfam family "Eukaryotic large subunit ribosomal RNA", at positions 390 to 887 of the family's 3401-position model. Lineage: Eukaryota; Metazoa; Arthropoda; Insecta; Coleoptera; Curculionidae. The record is from RNAcentral.